This 532-nucleotide ribosomal RNA is filed under the name uncultured bacterium. Its description in RNAcentral is "partial 16S ribosomal RNA". It matches the Rfam family "Bacterial small subunit ribosomal RNA", at positions 355 to 882 of the family's 1533-position model. The record is from RNAcentral.
UGGGGAAUUUUGGACAAUGGGCGAAAGCCUGAUCCAGCAAUGCCGCGUGUGUGAAGAAGGCCUUCGGGUUGUAAAGCACUUUUGUCCGGAAAGAAAUCCUUGGCUCUAAUACAGUCGGGGGAUGACGGUACCGGAAGAAUAAGCACCGGCUAACUACGUGCCAGCAGCCGCGGUAAUACGUAGGGUGCAAGCGUUAAUCGGAAUUACUGGGCGUAAAGCGUGCGCAGGCGGUUUGCUAAGACCGAUGUGAAAUCCCCGGGCUCAACCUGGGAACUGCAUUGGGUGACUGGCAGGCUAGAGUAUGGCAGAGGGGGGUAGAAUUCCACGUGUAGCAGUGAAAUGCGUAGAGAUGUGGAGGAAUACCGAUGGCGAAGGCAGCCCCCUGGGCCAAUACUGACGCUCAUGCACGAAAGCGUGGGGAGCAAACAGGAUUAGAUACCCUGGUAGUCCACGCCCUAAACGAUGUCAACUGUUGUUGGGGAUUCAUUCUUAGUAACGUAGCUAACGCGUGAAGUUGACCGCCUGGGGAGUA